Trachymyrmex cornetzi is the source of this 233-nucleotide long non-coding RNA. RefSeq lists it as uncharacterized. The record is from RefSeq and is a predicted model, not a curated record. NCBI's taxonomy places the organism in Eukaryota, Metazoa, Arthropoda, Insecta, Hymenoptera, Formicidae. The transcript is spliced from 3 exons.
CUGGUUUGUGGAUUUUCGGAAGUCCAUAAGCCCGAGACUAUCAAGUUGAUUAAGACCCGAAGAGAGAUUACUAAUGAUUGGCAUAGCAUGGUUCCUGACAUCCAGACGACUACUAAUAUAUUAGCCAAAGACGAAUAAAAACUAUUCAAUCUAAUAUCAGAAGAAUCAAUGCGAAUCUCAACUCUGUUUCCAUCUAAGUAGUGAUCACCAGGUCUAGAGCGCACAGACUCAUC